GACGAACGCUGGCGGCGUGCUUAACACAUGCAAGUCGAACGAUGAAGCUUGGUGCUUGCACUGGGUGGAUGAGUGGCGAACGGGUGAGUAAUACGUGAGUAACCUGCCCUUGACACUGGGAUAAGCCUGGGAAACUGGGUCUAAUACUGGAUAAGACAUGUCACCGCAUGGUGGUGUGUGGAAAGGGUGUUAGUGGGUUUGGAUAGGCUCACGGCGUAUCAGAUUGUUGGGGGGGUAAUGGCACCCCAAGGCGACGAAGGGUAGCGGACCUGAGAGGGUGGCCGGCCACCCUGGGACUGCGAGACGGCCCAGUCUCCUACCGGACGCAGCAGUGGGGAAUAUUGCACAGUGGGCGGAAGCCUGAUGCAGCGACGCCGCGUUCGUGAUGACCGCCUUCGGGUUGUAAACCUCUUUCUGCGCGGAUGAAGCGAUAGUGACGGUACGUGCAGAAAAAGCCCCGGCUAACUACGUG
RNAcentral lists this ribosomal RNA (472 nucleotides) under uncultured bacterium. RNAcentral describes it as "partial 16S ribosomal RNA". It matches the Rfam family "Bacterial small subunit ribosomal RNA", at positions 28 to 507 of the family's 1533-position model. The record is from RNAcentral.